This 374-nucleotide ribosomal RNA is filed under the name uncultured organism. RNAcentral's name for it is "partial 16S ribosomal RNA". It matches the Rfam family "Bacterial small subunit ribosomal RNA", at positions 527 to 896 of the family's 1533-position model. The record is from RNAcentral.
GUAGGUGGCAAGCGUUGUCCGGAAUUAUUGGGCGUAAAGCGCGCGCAGGCGGUUCUUUAAGUCUGAUGUGAAAGCCCACGGCUCAACCGUGGAGGGUCAUUGGAAACUGGAGAACUUGAGUACAGAAGAGGAAAGCGGAAUUCCACGUGUAGCGGUGAAAUGCGUAGAGAUGUGGAGGAACACCAGUGGCGAAGGCGGCUUUCUGGUCUGUAACUGACGCUGAGGCGCGAAAGCGUGGGGAGCAAACAGGGAUUAGAUACCCUGGUAGUCCACGCCGUAAACGAUGAGUGCUAAUGUUAGGGGGUUUCCGCCCCCCUUAGUGCUGCAGCUAACGCAUUAAGCACUCCGCCCUGGGGAGUACGGCCGCAAGGCUG